CCAAUAGCGUAUAUUAAAGUUGUUGCAGUUAAAAAGCUCGUAGUUGAAUUUCGGGAUCAGUACGCCGGUCGUGCCUCCGGUAUGUACUGGUGUCACUGAUUCCUCCCUUCUGAAGAACCAUCAUGCCAUUAAUUUGGUGUGGUGGGGAAUCAGGACUGUUACUUUGAAAAAAUUAGAGUGUUUAAAGCAGGCUCGCGCUUGAAUACAUUAGCAUGGAAUAAUGAAAUAGGACGUUUAUCCUAUUUUGUUGGUUUCUAGGAUUGACGUAAUGAUUAAUAGGGAUAGUUGGGGGCAUUAGUAUUCAAUUGUCAGAGGUGAAAUUCUUGGAUUUAUUGAAGACUAACUACUGCGAAAGCAUUUGCCAAGGAUGUUUUCAUUAAUCAAGAACGAAAGUUAGGGGAUCGAAGACGAUCAGAUACCGUCGUAGUCUUAACCAUAAACUAUGCCGACUAGGGAUCGGAUGAUGUUAAUUUUUUAAUGACUCAUUCGGCGCCUUACG
This 499-nucleotide ribosomal RNA is filed under the name uncultured Glomeromycotina. RNAcentral describes it as "partial small subunit ribosomal RNA". It matches the Rfam family "Eukaryotic small subunit ribosomal RNA", at positions 591 to 1092 of the family's 1831-position model. Lineage: Eukaryota; Fungi; Glomeromycota. The record is from RNAcentral.